This 166-nucleotide ribosomal RNA is filed under the name Kosakonia sacchari. RNAcentral's name for it is "16S rRNA. Bacterial SSU". It matches the Rfam family "Bacterial small subunit ribosomal RNA", at positions 1 to 160 of the family's 1533-position model. Lineage: Bacteria; Pseudomonadati; Pseudomonadota; Gammaproteobacteria; Enterobacterales; Enterobacteriaceae. The record is from RNAcentral.
UUAAAUUGAAGAGUUUGAUCAUGGCUCAGAUUGAACGCUGGCGGCAGGCCUAACACAUGCAAGUCGGACGGUAACACAGAGAGCUUGCUCUCGGGUGACGAGUGGCGGACGGGUGAGUAAUGUCUGGGAAACUGCCUGAUGGAGGGGGAUAACUACUGGAAACGGU